AAACAGCGACAAAGUCGUCAGCAAAACAACAUGAAUAACCAUGUCCACGGAAAGGAAAGAGAGAUAGAGAGAUACAGAAAGGAGUAGAACAGGAAAGCAGAAGGGGAAGAGAGAGAGAAAAGAACAAGAAAAAAGGGUGGGAGGGAUGUAGCAACCAGCUAGUUCCUGAGGAACUACAGUCCUUUCGGGGCCGGAGCGUCCUGCAUGAUUUGCUGAGCAAUAGGUGGUCAGUGCGUUCACCCACCUGGAGGAUAUCCGUGUGCAGCGAGGAAAUGGCAGAUCUGAAAUCACCCUGAAUUUCCGUCCUCAACGCCGCCAAUAACCCCUUCAAUGACU
This is a long non-coding RNA of Xenopus laevis (African clawed frog), 336 nucleotides long. RefSeq lists it as uncharacterized. Lineage: Eukaryota; Metazoa; Chordata; Amphibia; Anura; Pipidae. The transcript is spliced from 3 exons. The record is from RefSeq and is a predicted model, not a curated record.